This 66-nucleotide transfer RNA is filed under the name Plantibacter flavus. Its description in RNAcentral is "tRNA-Gly". The record is from RNAcentral. RNAcentral also lists the same sequence under 1 other name. Lineage: Bacteria; Bacillati; Actinomycetota; Actinomycetes; Micrococcales; Microbacteriaceae.
GCCGACAGUUGGUAACUUCAGCUUCCCAAGCUGAUAGCGCGGGUUCGAUUCCCGUCAUCCGCUCCA